GGCGCGAUCGUCUUCCUCCUCAUUCGCCGCUGCGCCGCUCGAUCCAGGACCUAUGGAGGGAGCGAUAUCGCAAGACGUGCGCUCUUCUCCAAGUUUGCCUUCGAACAGCGAACCGGAAGAACAGACGGUCGAGCCGCUGAACUCUUUCUGUUCAUGGCGGUUUCGGCUUAUUCUUUCUCGAGUCUGAUCUUUCCUACAUUUUGGUCUUUGGUUUUGAGCGAUAUUUGAGUGUGUAGAGCGAAGGUCCCAGCGGAGAGGCGGGAGCUCUGUGAACGAGGCCUCUCUAACGAUUGAACAGAGAUCUCCUUCGCGAAAUUGGUCCGCCGAAUUGUAGGAUGCCUGGAAUUCUCCCCAUUUCCGGGCAUCUGGAAUCCUCGGCCACAUCCAUACCUUCCAUUGAAUCCGAAUUGGCUCUUGCGCUUUUCGCUGCUCGAUGACUUCCUCUUCCAGAAUAGAGAAGGUGGGGAUUGUGAUCUUGUUUUGAUUCCACUUUUAAUUUUUUAGCACGAAAACAAUGAAUAAAGUUUUAUUAAUUAAACUAUCCCUAGGCAAUCCGAUUUUUAUGCUCUUUUGUCUGAUAUUUACCGUUAGAUGCAUGCUAAAGCUAAACGAUGAAAAUGAGAUUCGUGGUAGCAUGAAGUGCAACCAAACAUGAAUUAGCACAAUUCUAAGGAUAUGUUCUUUCAACCAAAA
Molecule: long non-coding RNA, 693 nt
Organism: Eucalyptus grandis
Lineage: Eukaryota; Viridiplantae; Streptophyta; Magnoliopsida; Myrtales; Myrtaceae
Exons: 2
Source: RefSeq, a predicted model, not a curated record